GACGAACGCUGGCGGCGUGCUUAACACAUGCAAGUCGAACGGAAAGGCCCUGCUUUUGUGGGGUGCUCGAGUGGCGAACGGGUGAGUAACACGUGAGUAACCUGCCCUUGACUUUGGGAUAACUUCAGGAAACUGGGGCUAAUACCGGAUAGGAGCUCCUGCUGCAUGGUGGGGGUUGGAAAGUUUCGGCGGUUGGGGAUGGACUCGCGGCUUAUCAGCUUGUUGGUGGGGUAGUGGCGUACCAAGGCUUUGACGGGUAGCCGGCCUGAGAGGGUGACCGGCGACAUGGGGACUGAGAUACGGCCCAGACUCCUACGGGAGGCAGCAGUGGGGAAUAUUGCACAAUGGGCGGAAGCCUGAUGCAGCAACGCCGCGUGCGGGAUGACGGCCUUCGGGUUGUAAACCGCUUUCGCCUGUGACGAAGCGUGAGUGACGGUAAUGGGUAAAGAAGCACCGGCUAACUACGUG
This 468-nucleotide ribosomal RNA is filed under the name uncultured bacterium. Its description in RNAcentral is "partial 16S ribosomal RNA". It matches the Rfam family "Bacterial small subunit ribosomal RNA", at positions 28 to 507 of the family's 1533-position model. The record is from RNAcentral.